CUACGGGGGGGCUGCAGUGAGGAAUAUUGCACAAUGGGGGGAACCCUGAUGCAGCAACGCCGCGUGGAGGAUGACGCAUUUCGGUGUGUAAACUCCUUUUAUAUGUCAAGAAAAUGACGGUAGCAUAUGAAUAAGCACCGGCUAACUCCGUGCCAGCAGCCGCGGUAAUACGGAGGGUGCAAGCGUUACUCGGAAUCACUGGGCGUAAAGGACGCGUAGGCGGGUUGGAAAGUCAGGUGUGAAAUCCUACAGCUUAACUGUAGAACUGCACUUGAAACUUCUAAUCUAGAGUAUGGGAGGGGGAGAUGGAAUUAGUGGUGUAGGGGUAAAAUCCGUAGAUAUCACUAGGAAUACCUAAAGCGAAGGCGAUCUCCUGGAACAUUACUGACGCUAAGGCGUGAAGGCGUGGGGAGCAAACAGGAUUAGAUACCCUAGUAGUC
This 440-nucleotide ribosomal RNA is filed under the name uncultured bacterium. RNAcentral describes it as "partial 16S ribosomal RNA". It matches the Rfam family "Bacterial small subunit ribosomal RNA", at positions 339 to 795 of the family's 1533-position model. The record is from RNAcentral.